RNAcentral lists this long non-coding RNA (838 nucleotides) under Struthio camelus australis. RNAcentral describes it as "lncRNA (ENSSCUG00000012556.1)". Lineage: Eukaryota; Metazoa; Chordata; Aves; Struthioniformes; Struthionidae. The record is from RNAcentral.
AUGGUUUGGAUCACAUACAGUUGGCGUGACUUGUACAGCUUCUUUGACGAUGUUGUUACCACAACUGCCAUAGCACUUUCCUGUGUAGAUAGGAUUAUUCUUAAACUAGAUCAUUUCAAUGGCCUCAACCGGCAGAGUGGUGAACUGCAGUGAAACAUGACGACCGGAGGAAGACAGAAAAGACUUCUUAAACAGCUUGCUACAGAAGAGAGCCACAUCUUCAGGCAUACAGCGGUGUCUAUAAGAACUUGCUAAAUACUGCCGGUGUCCUUGCAGCCUUGCUCUCUAGUCUUUAACUAAAUCAGAUGCUAUCAGACUCCUCAUUAAGUUUAGAAAGUCUGUGAAGGGGAGGUAGGAAACUCUUCAGACAGCCUUACCUGACAGUUAGGGAAGUGUUAAUUUUCCUUGUCUUUUGCCUAGCCACAGGUAGGCAUUGUUUGCCAUUAAUUUUAAGCUGCCUGCUAAUACUUAAAUUAAAACUCUUCAGAGACUUUAUUUUUUAGUGCUUGAGAAGUCAUUUGACAGCUCAUGAAGUGGCAGGUGAGUACUGGCAAGAUUGAAGACUAGGUGUUGUCCAAGGGCAAAUGUACUUGGCAAGGAAAUCAAGCAAAUUUGCAACUAAAACAGCUGGUCAUGACAUGCUAUACUUAAAGUAAAUGACACUUAGGGUGGCCCAUUCUAACUAUAUAAGGAGCCAAGUACAAGCUUGCUCUAUGUGCAUUGCCAGACUUUUAUCCGGGGGAGGAGGGGGGUAAUGGGAGGAAGGGUAGAACGAAGAGAUAAAGAUGAUAUGCGGUCUCAGAAUAAAGGGUUUUGAAAGACUGAUGGCCUAGGUUUC